CAAGCGAUGGGGUGACGCAGGAAGGUAGCUGGGCCAGUCAGUGGUUGUACUGGUGUAAGAGUGUAGGCCGUGACAUAGGCAAAUCCGUGUCACAUUAAGGCUGAGACUUGAUGCAUACCCGUUGUGGGGAAUUCAGUGAUCCUGUGCUGCCGAGAAAAGCCUCUAGUGAGUUCAUACACGGCCCGUACCCCAAACCGACACAGGUGAUCAGGUAGAGAAUACCAAGGCGAUCGAGAGAACUGUGGUUAAGGAACUCGGCAAAAUGCCCCCGUAACUUCGGGAGAAGGGGGACCAUGCCCGGUGAACAUCUCCACGGUGGGAGCUGGGUGUGGUCGCAGAGACCAGAGAGAAGCGACUGUUUACUAAAAACACAGGUCCGUGCGAAGACGUAAGUCGAUGUAUACGGACUGACGCCUGCCCGGUGCUGGAAGGUUAAGAGGACCGGUUAGCCGUAAGGCGAAGCUGAGAAUUUAAGCCCCAGUAAACGGCGGUGGUAACUAUAACCAUCCUAAGGUAGCGAAAUUCCUUGUCGGGUAAGUUCCGACCUGCACGAAUGGCGUAACGACUUCUCUGCUGUCUCGACCACAGACUCGGCGAAAUUGCACUACGAGUAAAGAUGCUCGUUACGCGCGGCAGGACGAAAAGACCCCGGGACCUUUACUAUAGCUUGGUAUUGGCGUUCGAUUCGGUUUGUGUAGGAUAGGUGGGAGACUGUGAAGCAUGCACGCCAGUGUGUGUGGAGUCGUUGUUGAAAUACCACUCUGAUCGUAUUGGACGUCUAACCUCGGCCCAUGAUCUGGGUUAGGGACAGUGCCUGGUGGGUAGUUUAACUGGGGCGGUUGCCUCCUAAAGAGUAACGGAGGCGCCCAAAGGUUCCCUCAGCCUGGAUGGCAAUCAGGUGUUGAGUGCAAGUGCACAAGGGAGCUUGACUGUGAGACUGACACGUCGAGCAGGGACGAAAGUCGGGACUAGUGAUCCGGCACCGGCAAGUGGAAGCGGUGUCGCUCAACGGAUAAAAGGUACCCCGGGGAUAACAGGCUGAUCUUCCCCAAGAGUCCAUAUCGACGGGAUGGUUUGGCACCUCGAUGUCGGCUCGUCGCAUCCUGGGGCUGGAGUAGGUCCCAAGGGUUGGGCUGUUCGCCCAUUAGAGCGGCACGCGAGCUGGGUUUAGAACGUCGUGAGACAGUUCGGUCUCUAUCCGCCGCGCACGUAAGAAACUUGAGGAAGGCUGUCCCUAGUACGAGAGGACCGGGACGGACGAACCUCUGGUGUGCCAGUUGUUCCACCAGGAGCAUGGCUGGUUAGCUACGUUCGGAAGGGAUAACCGCUGAAAGCAUCUAAGCGGGAAGCCUGUUCCAAGAUGAGGUUUCUCACCACCUUGCGUGGUUAAGGCCCCCUACAGACCAUGGGGUUGAUAGGCCGGAACUGGAAGCGCAGCAAUGCGUGGAGGUGGCCGGUACUAAUAGGCCGAGGGCU
RNAcentral lists this ribosomal RNA (1476 nucleotides) under metagenome. RNAcentral's name for it is "bacterial LSU rRNA". It matches the Rfam family "Bacterial large subunit ribosomal RNA", at positions 1458 to 2925 of the family's 2925-position model. The record is from RNAcentral.